GUCUUCGUGGUGUAAUGGUCAGCACAUUCGGCGCGUAUUCGAGAGGUCCGAGGUUCGAAUCCCGGCCAGGACA
This 73-nucleotide transfer RNA is filed under the name Stegodyphus mimosarum. It matches the Rfam family "tRNA". From Rfam's summary of the family: Transfer RNA (tRNA) molecules are approximately 80 nucleotides in length. Their secondary structure includes four short double-helical elements and three loops (D, anti-codon, and T loops). Lineage: Eukaryota; Metazoa; Arthropoda; Arachnida; Araneae; Eresidae. The record is from Rfam by way of RNAcentral.